GCGCGAAAACUCCACAAUGUACGCCAGUACGAUGGGGUUAUCUCGAGUGUCGACUGAAAAAGCCGACUUUUCCAUAGAGUAAUAUCCUGUGGGAAUAAGAGGGGGGCAAGACUGGUGUCAGCCGCCGCGGUAACACCAGCCCCUCGAGUGGUGGGGACUAUUAUUUGGCCUAAAGCGUCCGUAGCCGGCUAAAGCCGUCACCCGUUAAAUCCAGCGUCUCAAGCGUUGGACUGCGGGUGAUACCCUUUAGCUUGAGGGUGGGACAGGUCAGCGGUAUUCCCGGGGUAGGGGCGAAAUCCUUUGAUCCCGGGAGGACCACCAGUGGCGAAGGCUGCUGACUAGAACACGCCUGACGGUCAGGGACGAAAGCUGGGGUAGCGAACCGG
RNAcentral lists this ribosomal RNA (386 nucleotides) under uncultured crenarchaeote. RNAcentral's name for it is "bacterial SSU rRNA". It matches the Rfam family "Archaeal small subunit ribosomal RNA", at positions 339 to 727 of the family's 1478-position model. Lineage: Archaea; Thermoproteati; Thermoproteota. The record is from RNAcentral.